This 488-nucleotide ribosomal RNA is filed under the name uncultured bacterium. Its description in RNAcentral is "partial 16S ribosomal RNA". It matches the Rfam family "Bacterial small subunit ribosomal RNA", at positions 30 to 507 of the family's 1533-position model. The record is from RNAcentral.
AUUGAACGCUGGCGGCAGGCCUAACACAUGCAAGUCGAACGGUAGCACAGAGAGCUUGCUCUCGGGUGACGAGUGGCGGACGGGUGAGUAAUGUCUGGGAAACUGCCCGAUGGAGGGGGAUAACUACUGGAAACGGUAGCUAAUACCGCAUAAUGUCGCAAGACCACAGAGGGGGACUUUCGGGCCUCUUGCCAUCGGAUGUGCCCAGAUGGGAUUAGCUAGUUGGUGAGGUAAUGGCUCACCAAGGCGACGAUCCCUAGCUGGUCUGAGAGGAUGACCAGCCACACUGGAACUGAGACACGGUCCAGACUCCUACGGGAGGCAGCAGUGGGGAAUAUUGCACAAUGGGCGCAAGCCUGAUGCAGCCAUGCCGCGUGUAUGAAGAAGGCCUUCGGGUUGUAAAGUACUUUCAGCGGGGAGGAAGGCAAUGCGGUUAAUAACCGUGUUGAUUGACGUUACCCGCAGAAGAAGCACCGGCUAACUCCGUG